RNAcentral lists this long non-coding RNA (1306 nucleotides) under Salmo trutta (river trout). RNAcentral's name for it is "lncRNA (ENSSTUG00000023312.1)". The record is from RNAcentral. Lineage: Eukaryota; Metazoa; Chordata; Actinopteri; Salmoniformes; Salmonidae.
GUAAGACACACUGACACUGUUGAACAAUCACAGAGUUAGGAGAAGAACCGAAUACCAAUAAGGUUCGGGGGUUACCUCUCUAACGAAGAUUCCCUAACCCGCCCAAUCCUCACUAUGUGCGUUCAUAGAAAUGAAAGUGUGGGUUGGCCUCUAGCCAGUGAUAUAUUCUCCAGGAGGGGGUGGGGCUUUACAGGGGUACUGGUCAGUCUGAGCUGUCUGAUUGUGGGAGCCAUAUUCCUAAUACACCAUGAACCACUCGAGAAGUCAGAAAGUGGUAACUUGACCCAUAGUGUAGAAGAUGAGGAGUUUUUAUGGCCUAGGUACAAAAGGUCACUCGAUCUGGAUAAAAAGGAAGUGAGAGUAGAGUUAGGGAAGGAUGUCUCAAUAGAGUUCUAUGCAGACCAAAUGGGGUCCCUAACCUCCUGGCAGUCUAGGACUCGGACUUCAUGGGGAAGAUAUCUGUGUAGAUCCCGGUGUAACUCAUGGAAUCAGGUCAUAGCUCACACAGAGAGAGAAGGCUAUGUCAAUCCACACACCCAAUAUAGAAACAGAUGGAGUAUAGUGAAGGCCAGGGUUUUUGACUGCAAUCCAGAGCAAGGGAAGUAUUGCUUGAAGAUAGGAAUGACCAUUAAAAGCAUAAAGAAAGAGGAUUUAGGGUUAUGGUAUGUUGGCCUUGACCAGACCAUUGUCGACACUGCGGUAACAUUCCGAGUAGUAGAGGUUAGGACAGGAGAUAGUUAUACCGCCAGCCAGAAUACCAGUAGUACCCCUGAUAAAACGGACAUUACCCGUGUAGUCAUCCAGAGCCAAGGACCGGUGAGGAUAGUUCAGACGAAAGAUCUUAAGGAAGUGAUUGAGGUGGAGACUUGGUUUGGGGAUUCCAACCUAUGGCUGGAAUGGAUUCAGUAUACAGCUAGAUCAGUAGCUAAAGAAGAAGGUUAUGCCUGCACAACCGCCAAACUUCAGUUGACAACCAUCCCCUUUCUUCUCGAUGGAAUUAAUUUACCAAGGGGAAUGGCCUGUAUGGUAAAGCUGUUCAUGAAGGCAAGGAAGCCAGACAGUUGCACUGAUCUGCAUUAUCUGUAUCCUAUGUGCCCAUUAGAUCCAGACUUCCCCCUUUCACAGUCGCAGGAGGAGACUAUUAUUGUGUGGCUCGACACAACACACACGGAUGGAACGUAGGGGAAGUAAGAACAUGCACUAGGACAGAGAAUGUUACAACUGACAAGACAAUGAGGGACCUGACUGGGUGGUUGAGUUCCGAGGACUUUAGUAAGAUAAAAAGGCAGAGAGCGGAUGUCUGGUG